This is a long non-coding RNA of Monomorium pharaonis (pharaoh ant), 2311 nucleotides long. RefSeq lists it as uncharacterized. The transcript has 2 exons. Lineage: Eukaryota; Metazoa; Arthropoda; Insecta; Hymenoptera; Formicidae. The record is from RefSeq and is a predicted model, not a curated record.
AAAUUAUCCAAAUUUAAUUUUUCUAGAUUUUAUAGACAUAGGUGAUAAGCAAAUUAAAAUUAUAAUAAAUAAAACAAACUGUUUCUUACUUGCAAACGGUCACUUUGAAAUGUGAACAAUGUAACUUGUACCGGAAUUUGUAAAAGAGCGCUUAAUUCACAGCCCACUUUCAUUAUAAAAAUCAUAUUAUCACACUUCUUGGUUAAUGUAUAUAUUACAGAUAUUGACGUAAGAAUACCAUUUAAACAACAAAAGAACCGAAAUAAUUUGUUACGAAUUUUUUGAAAUUUUGUAGCCUUCGAGAAAGUGGCCAACAACAUGCAAAUGUCAGAUCUACUUUUAAGAAGGCAAUGAUCUUUUCUAGCGUCAGUAUCUCUGUCAUAAUAAUAAUCUCUCAGACUAUUAGAGAUAGAAAAUAACGUACUUCAUUACGAUUCGCACUUGACUUUACAAUGUUUCUCCAUUCAAGGAAAGAAAAAUCGCGUGAUAUUUUCGCUUGUGUAUUGAACGCUUAGAUAUUACACCUACACUACAUUCAUUUAUAUUUCAACAUAUAAUGUCUACUUUUCUCUGGCAGAGGGAAAUGUGCAGAAUUAUCAUGUGGAAGAAAUUACCAGAGAGGAAAAGGAAAUAAUUAUACAUUAAAUGUACGAGCUAUGGGAUAUAUGUUGGAUUUUAUGUUAAACGCAGAUAAUUUUUUAGAAAAGUAAACAACCAAAAUAAUAACAAGAUAGGAAAAAAUUUUUCGCUACCUGAUGUGCACUUGAAAGUGAUUUUUUUCUGAUCUGUUACUUUACACUCCAAGAGCAACAUUUUGACACAGAUAACAAAAAAUAUUGUGUGCAAUAUGUGCGAAUCGGUUAUUGCUCACUUAUGCGGAGGGAUGAAGGCGAGUAUGUUUUGGCUAAUUUUUAUUCUGUACUUGCGGGCAAUUAGCCGACUCACGUACGCACAUACGCACGCACGCACGUACACACGUACGCACACACGCACCCACGCACGCACGCACACGCACACACACACACACACACACACACACACUUAUUUUUAAAUAACUGAUAUUAUAUUUAUGAAAUAAUUUAUCUUAACUGAAAUUUAUUCAAAUUUUUAUAUUUGAAAAAAUUAUUGCUUGUAAUAAAAGCAAUUAUAAAAUUGAUUAUAUAUUUUUUAUAAUCUUAACCGCAAAAAGUAGAAUAAUUAACUAAGCGUAUUUAACAAAAAAAGAAUUUGUCCCAAAACUUUUACCAAAUACUAUUAAGUUCAAGAUUAUAACGAUGAGAAUUUUUUAGGAACGACUCGAUGGUAGUACAGAGACGUUGGGAUUCCAUAGAAGUCAUAGGUGCAUAUAGUCGGUUUUUGAUGGUUUAGCGUUUGGCGAUGACUUCGAACACUUCGCAAUGAAUUUUUAACUUGUUGAAACGUGUGGUCAGGUUCCAGAAUUUGGAGUGUAAUUGUUGCUAUCCGGAGAAGUCUAGAGAGAUUGCAAAUUUAGAGAGAGCGGCACAGCCCAAAUGUCCUAAUCUGCCAUUUUGGUACUUUUAGUGAUCAUUUUCAAAAAAUUCUUUCACCGUUGUGAUCCUUGGGCAUAGUGGAAUGUUUAAUGAAUAUUUUAGGGUAAAUUUUUUUUGUCGAUUACUUUUGGUUAAUUUUUCUAUCGUUCUUUUUUAACAUUUUAUACGUUAUAUACUUUAUCAUAUUGCAAGAAUAAAAUUUCUACGUGAAAUCUGAACUAAAUGAAAUACACAAAUCCGUUAAAAUACACAAAAACAAUUUAAUAAUUUUGUAAUUUAUAAUAGUGCAAAGGACUUUUUUUCGUUAAUGCUUUAUUAAAAAUAUACUGCUUUACUCAUACUCCAGAUUCUUCUUCCUCGAACAUUAUUCGCAUUGUAGUGAAGUAGGAAAAUAUGGUUGAGAGAUACUGAAACAUUUAUAAUUUUGAAUAUGUACUUUUUAUAAUAAAAUAUAUAAAUAUGUUUUAAUUAUAUUACAUAAUUGUAAAAUAUUCUUGAAAAUGAUUUCCUUUUUAUUUAUAUAGCAUAUAUGACUAAUGCAAAAAUACGUUUUUAAGAUUAAAAAUAUGUUAAUAUAACAAUAUUUUAAUUUUUACUUUUUAGUACAUAAUAAUUAUAAUGUUUAAACAUUGAAUAUAUUGUUACGCGUGCCGCCCGGUUUACUCUUCGACUGCGAGUCAGCUGUCCGAUCGCCAAUAUCGAUCGGCAGCGGCGGUCAGCUGUCAAGAGCCGGGCAAUCAAAAUAAGCAGUCAGUUGAAGAGAGUCUGCGAGUUUUUACGGACGUGUUCUGUAUUUUAUC